GAUGAACGCUGGCGGCGUGCCUAAUACAUGCAAGUCGAGCGAACGGACGAGAAGCUUGCUUCUCUGAUGUUAGCGGCGGACGGGUGAGUAACACGUGGAUAACCUACCUAUAAGACUGGGAUAACUUCGGGAAACCGGAUCUAAUACCGGCUAAUAUUUUGAACCGCAUGGUUCAAAAGUGAAAGACGGUCUUGCUGUCACUUAUAGAUGGAUCCGCGCUGCAUUAGCUAGUUGGUAAGGUAACGGCUUACCAAGGCAACGAUGCAUAGCCGACCUGAGAGGGUGAUCGGCCACACUGGAACUGAGACACGGUCCAGACUCCUACGGGAGGCAGCAGUAGGGAAUCUUCCGCAAUGGGCGCAAGCCUGACGGAGCAACGCCGCGUGAGUGAUGAAGGUCUUCGGAUCGUAAAACUCUGUUAUUAGGGAAGAACAUAUGUGUAAGUAACUGUGCACAUCUUGACGGUACCUAAUCAGAAAGCCACGGCUAACUACGUG
RNAcentral lists this ribosomal RNA (497 nucleotides) under uncultured bacterium. RNAcentral's name for it is "partial 16S ribosomal RNA". It matches the Rfam family "Bacterial small subunit ribosomal RNA", at positions 28 to 507 of the family's 1533-position model. The record is from RNAcentral.